Molecule: ribosomal RNA, 254 nt
Filed under: uncultured bacterium
Lineage: Bacteria
Description: partial 16S ribosomal RNA
Rfam family: Bacterial small subunit ribosomal RNA
Source: RNAcentral
GACGAACCACACGAACGUUAUUCGGAAUUACUGGGCUUAAAGGGAGCGUAGGCGGGCUAUCAAGUCUGGGGUGAAAUCCCGCGGCUCAACCGUGGAACUGCCUCAGAUACUGCCGGUCUCGGGCCAACGUAGGGGCAACUGGAACGAACGGUGGAGCGGUGAAAUGCGUAGAUAUCGCUUGGAACGCCGAAGGUGAAAACAGGUUGCUGGGGUUGUGCCGACGCUGAGACACGAAAGCCAGGGGAGCGAACGGG